Molecule: long non-coding RNA, 645 nt
Filed under: Marmota monax (woodchuck)
Lineage: Eukaryota; Metazoa; Chordata; Mammalia; Rodentia; Sciuridae
Source: RNAcentral
ACAGGGCGGGGCUCCUCCGAAAGGCGGCGAAGGAGGGGGUCCAGUGAGCUCUGGGGAUACCUGGUGAAGGUUGUCUGAGAUCCUCCCAAUGGAAGAUGAGAGGAUGGAGACCCUCGUGGGCAGAGGGCUGAGGGGCAGGGUCCAAUGGGGCCGAGGAGCCCUUCAGUGUUGAGGGGGGCCAGGGACCUGGAGGGUUCAGGGAGGAGGGCUUCUGUGGCGCCUGGAGGUCUUGGAAGGGGCAGAAGAAGGAGCCGCCCAGUGGCUUUACUCUGUCCAGCCGUGCACAAUCGCCGCACAAAAGCUUGCGCAGUCCAGAAAUUCGCCCAGGCCCUGACCAGCGCGCAAGCUCAUUAGUCAUUCAGCAAACAGUUGCUGUAUGCCAACUCUGCCAGGCUGGGAAAACCGGCGCUUGGUAUGGAGAAAGCCCGCCGGACGGGGGCGACACCACAAGUGGAGAAACUUAACUGUUAAGCACCCACUGUGCCAGGUGAGUGGCCCACGCCUGUAAUCGCAGUGUGCCGGGACAAACCAGGUAAAGUGCCCCGGAGGUCUGGUCCCCAGUACCAAAAGGAAACAGAACCACCCCAGCUGCUGUGCGCAGUUCCCCUAAGUACGAUGAACAGAAGGGUAGACACCUGCCCAGGG